RNAcentral lists this ribosomal RNA (292 nucleotides) under uncultured bacterium. RNAcentral describes it as "partial 16S ribosomal RNA". It matches the Rfam family "Bacterial small subunit ribosomal RNA", at positions 505 to 796 of the family's 1533-position model. The record is from RNAcentral.
GUGCCAGCAGCCGCGGUAAAACGUAGGAGACAAACGUUAUCCGGAGUUACUGGGCGUAAAGGGCGUGUAGGUGGUUUCGUAAGUCUGGCGUGAAAUUUCCCGGCUUAACCGGGAGUGGUCGUCGGAUACUGCGGGACUAGAGGACGGUAGAGGCGUGUGGAAUUCCGGGUGUAGUGGUGAAAUGCGUAGAGAUCCGGAGGAACACCAGUGGCGAAGGCGACACGCUGGGCCGUACCUGACACUGAUGCGCGACAGCAUGGGGAGCAAACAGGAUUAGAAACCCUGGUAGUCC